AUUGAACGCUGGCGGCAGGCCUAACACAUGCAAGUCGAGCGGAUGAAGGGAGCUUGCUCCUGGAUUCAGCGGCGGACGGGUGAGUAAUGCCUAGGAAUCUGCCUGGUAGUGGGGGAUAACGUCCGGAAACGGGCGCUAAUACCGCAUACGUCCUGAGGAAGAGAGUGGGGGAUCUUCGGACCUCACGUUACCAGAUGAGCCUAGGUCGGAUUAGCUAGUUGGUGGGGUAAAGGCCUACCAAGGCGACGAUCCGUCACUGGUCUGAGAGGAUGAUCAGUCACACUGGAACUGAGACACGGUCCAGACUCCUACGGGAGGCAGCAGUGGGGAAUAUUGGACAAUGGGCGGAAGCCUGAUCCAGCCAUGCCGCGUGUGUGAAGAAGGUCUUCGGAUUGUAAAGCACUUUAAGUUGGGAGGAAGGGCAGUAAGUUAAUACCUUGCUGUUUUGACGUUACCAACAGAAUAAGCACCGGCUAACUUCGUG
RNAcentral lists this ribosomal RNA (484 nucleotides) under uncultured bacterium. RNAcentral's name for it is "partial 16S ribosomal RNA". It matches the Rfam family "Bacterial small subunit ribosomal RNA", at positions 30 to 507 of the family's 1533-position model. The record is from RNAcentral.